UGCAUUCACUACUGUAAGUUGCUCUGGAUAAGAGCGUCUCUGCUAAAUGACUAAAA
Molecule: non-coding RNA, 56 nt
Organism: Salmo salar (Atlantic salmon)
Lineage: Eukaryota; Metazoa; Chordata; Actinopteri; Salmoniformes; Salmonidae
Source: Rfam